RNAcentral lists this ribosomal RNA (2405 nucleotides) under Fasciola hepatica (liver fluke). RNAcentral describes it as "eukaryotic LSU rRNA". The stretch from base 1219 to 2405 matches the Rfam family "Eukaryotic large subunit ribosomal RNA", at positions 1890 to 3347 of the family's 3401-position model. The record is from RNAcentral. Lineage: Eukaryota; Metazoa; Platyhelminthes; Trematoda; Plagiorchiida; Fasciolidae.
AGUGCACGCGCUGGUCCGUGCUUGACUUCCAGUUUGCAGGGAUAAGAUGUUCGGCCUCUAUGCCAAACGAGCUUCAGGAGGCCGGACCUGCCCAACCUAUCCACCAAAGCACCCCUGGCCCAGAGAGCGCGGUUGGAACGCUUGGCAAGAUCAUCCUCGAUGCCGGCAGUAUGGCUCCCUCAGCUUUUGUGUCUCAUCAAUUGGUUCGGAAGGCCAAAACACAGGUCCAAGCGGGGUCAUCUGCGGCAAAUUCGAAAAGUGACGUCUUCUCAGCUUGGUCCGCCCAUUUUCUCAGUUUGUCUGUAGGUAGUGGUCUCCGGAACUUCCUGACGGAUCCUGCUAGUCUUCUCUGGUUAGGAGCUGAUGACUUGGCCCCUCCAAGACUGCUCCUGAAAGCGACUUGGCUAGGAGAAGGGGUGCUCUCAACUAAAGUACAUCGGGCGCGAGGAUAAGUAGUCCAUAUCGAGGACGUAAUGUGUCGGGGUGGAUGCGGCGCUGUCGGGUCUGCUGAUCAAGUUCUCCAACACUGCGCUUCGGCCCACUAAUUGCAUUGGCAAACGGCGUAACAAAGUGGUCCGUUGGUUGACUUGUUCUUUCAAGGAGAGACCUUCCUGUCUUGGUCUAGCCUAAUGUCCCCCUGGCGCAAAGGUUUUGCAAACCGGACCUUAUUUUGUACAACGGUGACCUCGUACAUUUCCUUGACAUGUGUUCAGUAUCCGGUUAAUCUGCUGGAUCUGCCUGGAGAACUAAAAUUGAGAAAUAAUCUGCUACCUUGGUAGGGGAUUCCAUCAAGCUUACGUUGGGCCAAACUACUGUUACGCUCACACACUGCCCGGUCGUUAUCUCCAACCACCGCCUCCUUCUCAAGCUAUCGGAUUCCGUUUUGCGUCACCUUGGUCUUCGUCCAUUCAACUUGGCUCGUGCUUGUGAACUGUUGCCCAAGGCUCGCUGAAGAUCUACGACGUCUAUAUGAACGGUCUCAAAGAAUGGCCAGACUGAAGUAUUGGACAAUGGAUCGGCUUCACUUAUGACUUCCUGUACGUAAACAUGCCAGGAGGUACACAGCCUAUGCAAAGGAGGCUUGGGACGCGUGUACAGUCCUCUCCAGUCAGAUGCUGAGUGCUCUUAAAAAACAGUCUUGCCUGAUUCCCCUUCCCCCCAUUUUUCUUACUUAAAUUUUUUUCUACCCCCUAUUGCUGUGUGUUCUAACUGGACAGUACAUAAUAUCAUAGCCAAAAGCCUCAUCAUUCAUUAUUGACUCGCAUGAACAAUUAAAAAAAAUCCCCACUGUCCCCAUUUACCAUGUGGCGAAACCACAGCCAAGGGAACGAGCUUGGCCAAAUUAGUGGAAGAAGAAGUCCCUAUGAAGAUUGACUCUAGUCCGACUUCGUGGAGGGACAUGAAAGGGGUGUAAUAGGUAAGAGGCCGGUCCUUCAGGUCUCGCAGAUGGUGAAAUAGCACCACGGCCACUGUUUUUUGCAUUUUCAGUAAAACAAGAAAUUGCUUUUGGUUUUACUCACGUACUAGUGCAGUGGCGCACGGCGCGGGGGUUGGUAUCUUAGUCAUCUCAGAGCAGUCGUGGUCUCAGUCGCGGCCUUUGAGUCUGUUUUGAUGUGCAAUCCGUUCUGAAGACAGUAUCAGGCGGAAAGUUUGACUGGGGCGGUACAUCUGUCAAAUGGUGACGCAGGUGUUCCAUGGUGAGCUCGGCCGGGACGGAAGCCUGGCUUGGAGUAAAAGGGCAAAAGCUCACUUGAUUUUGACUUGCAAUACGAAUACAGACCUUGAAAGCUUGAACUAUCGUUCCUUUUUAAUCCGAUAUUCAGAGUAUGAUGCAAGGGGUGUCAGAAAAGUCACCACAGGGAUAGCUGGCUUGUAGCGGCCAAGCUUUCACGGCAAAGCCUCUUUUUGCCACUUCGAUGUCGGCUCGCCCUAGCUUUGUGAAACAGAAUUCAUCAAGCUUUGGAUUGUUCACUCGAUAAUUGGGAACGUGAGCUAGGGUUGGACUUUCAAGAGACAGGUUAGUUUUACCCAACUAAUGAGUACUUUGAAACAAUGAAGCGAAAAGUGGACUUCUCUAUGGUGAUCCUGUCUGGCGCGAGAGAAGCCGCAGGUUCAGAUGUUUGGUAUAUGUGCCUGGUUGAACGGCCAGUGGUGCGAAGCUGUCAUCUGAGGGACUGGAACGGAAGGCCUCUAAGUCCGAAUCCCGCCUGGAUAUGCAAAGGUAUAUUCAGCGCCUGACACUAGACUAGAAUAGCCUACGUAUUCCUUUUGGUGCUUGACCCAUGCUAUGUGCCUGGCUGGGCCAGGUAGGUCUGUUUUAAUGCCGGAUCGAUAGGACCACAACUGUACCCUGGACUUCAGAGUGUAAAAGUCGACGCUAUACCCAAAAGUGGUUUGAGGGUGAA